UUAAACAGCAAUAUGAACGAU
This 21-nucleotide non-coding RNA is filed under the name Caenorhabditis elegans. The record is from RNAcentral. Lineage: Eukaryota; Metazoa; Nematoda; Chromadorea; Rhabditida; Rhabditidae.